AGUAGCACCUUUUGACUUUUCAACCAAAAUGGAUAUUUAUCUUCCUAUGUCGUCUCUUUCUUCAUAAUUCCAGAGAGCUCGACCAAAUAAGACCCCUAACCUCACCCUUAAGCUGUCCACAAGGUUAUCCAACAAGAUUAUCAUCCGAGGCACAAAAUCACGAAGCAAUAACACUAGAACGAUCCCCACGACACUAAGGAGUCGU
Nicotiana attenuata is the source of this 205-nucleotide long non-coding RNA. RefSeq lists it as uncharacterized. The record is from RefSeq and is a predicted model, not a curated record. NCBI's taxonomy places the organism in Eukaryota, Viridiplantae, Streptophyta, Magnoliopsida, Solanales, Solanaceae. The transcript is spliced from 2 exons.